Long non-coding RNA from Mytilus californianus (California mussel), 393 nucleotides. RefSeq lists it as uncharacterized. The transcript is spliced from 5 exons. The record is from RefSeq and is a predicted model, not a curated record. Lineage: Eukaryota; Metazoa; Mollusca; Bivalvia; Mytilida; Mytilidae.
CAGCGGAAGAAAAGGCAAAAGAAACAAGAAACGCGGAAGAAAAGGCAGAAGAAACAAGAAACGACGAUGUCAAUGUAAAGUUGCUUCUGUAAAGACAAUCAAUAACUGUAGAAAAACCGGAAAAAGGAAGACAUGUUCAAAGGUGAAACAGUACUUCUUCACAAAAAACAAUGUAGCUACCCAUUUGAUGAUUCAAACACAGGAGAGACUGAUGACUCAGGAUCAAAUGACGAAACCGGUUCACAUGACGGAUCAUAUGAUGAGAUUGGACAUAACGAUGGAACAGGAUCAGACGAUGGCACGGUAUCUAACGAUGAAACUGGGUCGGACGAUGGGAAUGCCGAUGGGACAGGGACUGGCGGUGGACUUGAUGAAGAUGCGGGCGAAACACCA